AACGAACGCUGGCGGCAUGCCUAACACAUGCAAGUCGAACGAGACCUUCGGGUCUAGUGGCUCACGGGUGCGUAACGCGUGGGAACCUGCCCUUAGGUUCGGAAUAACUCCCCGAAAUGGGUGCUAAUACCGGAUAAUGUCUUCGGACCAAAGAUUUAUCGCCUUUGUAUGGGCCCGCGUUGUAUUAGCUAGUUGGUAUGGUAAAAGCCUACCAAGGCGACGAUCCAUAGCUGGUCUGAGAGGAUGAUCAGCCACACUGGGACUGAGACACGGCCCGGACUACUACGGGAGGCAGCAGUGGGGAAUCUUGGACAAUGGGCGAAAGCAUGAUCCAGCAAUGCUGCGUGAGUGAUGAAGGCCUUAGGGUUGUAAAGCUCUUUUACCCGCGAUGAUAAUGACAGUACCGGGAGAAUAAGCUCCGGCUAACUCCGUG
This 433-nucleotide ribosomal RNA is filed under the name uncultured bacterium. RNAcentral describes it as "partial 16S ribosomal RNA". It matches the Rfam family "Bacterial small subunit ribosomal RNA", at positions 29 to 507 of the family's 1533-position model. The record is from RNAcentral.